This 28-nucleotide small RNA is filed under the name Bombyx mori (domestic silkworm). Its description in RNAcentral is "ovarian small RNA-34041". The record is from RNAcentral. Lineage: Eukaryota; Metazoa; Arthropoda; Insecta; Lepidoptera; Bombycidae.
UGCGUUUCGUUUUGAAGGGUGGGGCAGC